AGGGGUGAAAUGCCAAUCGAACUUGGAGUUAGCUGGUUAUCUGCGAAAGCUAUAAAGGUAGCGCGUCCAAAGAAGAAAGUAGCGGCGAGUAAGGCAAUAGGAAACUCCGAUAGGAGAGAGAACCCAAGAACACCGAGACAAGAAAAGGAUAGACAGACUUAGAGCGAUAAGGUCCUAGGUCGAGAGGGGAACAACCCAGAACGAAAGUUAAGGUCGUGAAAGAGAGCUAAGUGUGUAAGGCAAGUCGGCCAAAAAAACGUCAAAGAAGUAGGCAUGGAAACAGCCAGCAAAUAGGGAACACGUAAAAGUGCAUUAGAAGACAGGCAAGGCGCCAAGAAUGUAGGCGGCUAAGAGCUCAACCGAAACUAAGAAGAAGGUAGCAGAUCAAUUCGUAAAAAAUCGAAAGAGACGAUGCAAGUAUGAGUAACGAAAAUCGAAGUAAAAGACGAGACCGGAAGUCCAAGGAGUAAGGAAAAAACAGCCCCUAAGUCAAGGAGACCUGAAGAGGAAGGAUGAUGGGAGACGAGAAAAAAGAUCAGGAAAAACCUCGUAAAGAAAACUGUACCAAGCUGACGCAAGUGGACAAGUAGAGAAUACAAAGGUCGAAGAAGAACUAUCCUUAAGGAACUCGGCAAAAUGACUCAGUAAGUUAGACAAGAAUGAGUCCUAAAACAGGAGCAUAGAAUCGGGGAGACCGACUGGUUACCAAAACCAUAGCUUUUAGCCAACACGGAAGUGGAAGUAGUAGAAGCGACCCCUGCCCAAUAAUUGUAACCGAAAGCAGUAGAUGAAAGUCUAAGGUAUAAGAACAAUAGAAUGGCCGCAGUAACACUGACUGUGAAAAUGUAGCGCAAUAAAUAGUCAAUUAAUUGUUGACAGGUAUGAAAGGGGUAACGAGUUUCCCGCUGUCUCAAGGAUAAAUCGAGUGAAAUUGGAGUCGUAGUGAAGAUACUAUGAAAGAUAAAUGCGGGACAAGAAGACCCUAGAAGCUUAACUGUUACUAUAAGUAGAAGCACGGGAGAAGAAGGAGUAGUAAAAAGUGGAGACUCUAAAGAGAAAGAUGAAAAACCAAGACUAAUUGUCAAGUGCGAACUAAGAAAGAUCAAAAGAAGAAGAGCGAAAGCAUAUAGGAGACAGUUUGGUUGGGGUGACAGCCUUUUAAAAAGUAACAAAGGCUUACAAAGGUAUACAAAGAAGUGUAAUAGCAAAAGUAUGCUUGACUGUACGAGAAAGAUAAAUCAAGCAGGGACGAAAGUCGGUUAUAGUGACCAGCUAGAAAAGAAGAUGGAAGAGCUAGCUAUCAGAAGAAAAGUUACUUUAGGGAUAACAGGGUAAUAUUGGCUAAGAGUCCAUAUCGACGCCAAAGUUUGCCACCUCGAUGUUGAAUCAGCGCAUCCUGGGGGUGCACAAGCUCCCAAGGGUUGGACUGUUCGUCCAUAAAAGCGCUACGUGAUUUGAGUUCAGACCGUGGUGACACAGGUCGGCUUAUAUCUGCAUGUAUCAAGAAACGAAAUUCAUGCUUUGAAUAGUACGAGAGGAUUUUCAAGGCUAUCCCUCUGAUGUACCUGCUGUCGAAAGGCACCGCAGGGUAGUUACGGAUAAAAAUAUAAGAGCUGAAGGCAAAUAAAGCACGAAGAUUGAGAAAAAAAGGGUUUCAAAGGAAGGCAAGAGAUAAUUGCGUAGAUAGGCAGUGGGUGUAAAACUAGAAAUAGAAAAGCUGAACUGUACUAAAUUUCCAAAAGGCGAAAGCC
RNAcentral lists this ribosomal RNA (1751 nucleotides) under Trapa natans var. bispinosa. RNAcentral describes it as "bacterial LSU rRNA". It matches the Rfam family "Bacterial large subunit ribosomal RNA", at positions 817 to 2925 of the family's 2925-position model. Lineage: Eukaryota; Viridiplantae; Streptophyta; Magnoliopsida; Myrtales; Lythraceae. The record is from RNAcentral.